GACGAACGCUGGCGGCGUGCUUAACACAUGCGAGUCGAACGGAAAGGCCCUGCUUUUGUGGGGUGUUCGAGUGGCGAACGGGUGAGUAACACGUGGGUAACCUGCCCUUGACUUUGGGAUAACUUCAGGAAACUGGGGCUAAUACCGGAUAGGAGCUCCUGCGGCAUGGUGGGGGUUGGAAAGUUUCGGCGGGUGGGGAUGGACUCGGGGUUUUUCAGCUUGUGGGUGGGGUAGUGGCUUACCAAGGCUUCGACCAGUAGCUGGUGUGAGAGGGUGACCGGUCAGACGGGGACUGAGACACGGGCGAGACUCCUACGGGAGGCAGCAGUAAGGAAUAUUGGGCAAUGGAGGCAACUCUGACCCAGCCAUGCCGUGUGGAGGAGGAAGGCCCUCUGGGUUGUAAACUUCGUUUAUAGGGGACGAAACCUGUGUAUUCUUACGCAGUUGACGGUACCCGAGGAAUAAGCACCGGCUAACUCCGUG
This 483-nucleotide ribosomal RNA is filed under the name uncultured bacterium. Its description in RNAcentral is "partial 16S ribosomal RNA". It matches the Rfam family "Bacterial small subunit ribosomal RNA", at positions 28 to 507 of the family's 1533-position model. The record is from RNAcentral.